UUUGGGAUAGGCCUGGGAAACUGGGUCUAAUACCGGAUAGGAGCGCCUACCGCAUGGUGGGUGUUGGAAAGAUUUAUCGGUUUUGGAUGGACUCGCGGCCUAUCAGCUUGUUGGUGAGGUAAUGGCUCACCAAGGCGACGACGGGUAGCCGGCCUGAGAGGGUGACCGGCCACACUGGGACUGAGACACGGCCCAGACUCCUACGGGAGGCAGCAGUGGGGAAUAUUGCACAAUGGGCGCAAGCCUGAUGCAGCGACGCCGCGUGAGGGAUGACGGCCUUCGGGUUGUAAACCUCUUUCAGUAGGGAAGAAGCGAAAGUGACGGUACCUGCAGAAGAAGCACCGGCUAACUACGUGCCAGCAGCCGCGGUAAUACGUAGGGUGCGAGCGUUAUCCGGAAUUAUUGGGCGUAAAGAGCUCGUAGGCGGUUUGUCGCGUCUGUCGUGAAAGUCCGGGGCUUAACCCCGGAUCUGCGGUGGGUACGGGCAGACUAGAGUGCAGUAGGGGAGACUGGAAUUCCUGGUGUAGCGGUGGAAUGCGCAGAUAUCAGGAGGAACACCGAUGGCGAAGGCAGGUCUCUGGGCUGUAACUGACGCUGAGGAGCGAAAGCAUGGGGAGCGAACAGGAUUAGAUACCCUGGUAGUCCAUGCCGUAAACGUUGGGCACUAGGUGUGGGGACCAUUCCACGGUUUCCGCGCCGCAGCUAACGCAUUAAGUGCCCCGCCUGGGGAGUACGGCCGCAAGGCUAAANCUCAAAGGAAUUGACGGGGGCCCGCACAAGCGGCGGAGCAUGCGGAUUAAUUCGAUGCANCGCGAAGAACCUUACCAAGGCUUGACAUGUUCUCGAUCGCCGUAGAGAUACGGUUUCCCCUUUGGGGCNGGUUCACAGGUGGUGCAUGGUUGUCGUCAGCUCGUGUCGUGAGAUGUUGGGUUAAGUCCCGCAACGAGCGCAACCCUCGUUCCAUGUUGCCAGCACGUAAUGGUGGGGACUCAUGGGAGACUGCCGGGGUCAACUCGGAGGAAGGUGAGGACGACGUCAAAUCAUCAUGCCCCUUAUGUCUUGGGCUUCACGCAUGCUACAAUGGCCGGUACAAUGGGUUGCGAUACUGUGAGGUGGAGCUAAUCCCAAAAAGCCGGUCUCAGUUUGGAUUGGGGUCUGCAACUCGACCCCAUGAA
This 1175-nucleotide ribosomal RNA is filed under the name Micrococcus sp. RNAcentral describes it as "bacterial SSU rRNA". It matches the Rfam family "Bacterial small subunit ribosomal RNA", at positions 137 to 1324 of the family's 1533-position model. Lineage: Bacteria; Bacillati; Actinomycetota; Actinomycetes; Micrococcales; Micrococcaceae. The record is from RNAcentral.